Molecule: transfer RNA, 68 nt
Filed under: marine eukaryotic metagenome
Rfam family: tRNA
About the family: Transfer RNA (tRNA) molecules are approximately 80 nucleotides in length.
Source: RNAcentral
CGAAGUAGCUCAGUUGGUAGAGCAACUCAUUCGUAAUGAGUAGGUCGACGGUUCGACUCCGUUCUUCG